This 1906-nucleotide unclassified non-coding RNA is filed under the name Aphidius gifuensis. Its description in RNAcentral is "lipase 3-like, transcript variant X1". The record is from RNAcentral. Lineage: Eukaryota; Metazoa; Arthropoda; Insecta; Hymenoptera; Braconidae.
GAUCCAAUAACGAGAUAUAUGCAAUGAUGACGUCAUGAACUCGAUACCGAGAAACAUAUAACCCCAGUAAGUUUCUGGCGUUUAAAAAUAAUUUUAACAGGAGACCCCACCGUUUCUCAUGAUGCAACAUCAGUUAAUAUUUUCAAGAGAAGAUUCUUUAUAAAAAGAACGGUCGUUGAUCAUUCAAUUUCAUUUUUGCUGGAAAGUAUAUGUCUGAAAAACAUGAAAUUAAAAUUGUGAAGAAAACCGCGGCGUUGAAAAUAAAAAACAUGUUAUGAAAAAAUAAAGUUAUAGCACUGGAGGAUUUAAAAGGAAAAAUAAAAUAGUGGGAAUGAUUGUCAAUAAAAAAAACUUCAGCGCAAACAUACCAAGUAAAUAUUAGUAUACAGACAACUCUAGCGAACAUUAUAUAAAUACUGUUGACAAGCAUACACCAGGAGUCACUGUAAUUUGUGAUAAUGUCGUUGCACCUCAAUUGUCUGCUACUUUUUAUAUCAAGUCAAGGAAGUCUUCAUACAAUUUCGUCAUUUGUUGAUGGACUUGAUACAAACCCUGACACUUAUCUACUCACACCAGAGCUGGCAUCAAAAUAUGGUUAUCCACUGGAGGCUCAUAAAGUUAUAACUCAAGAUGAUUAUAUUCUGGAAAUGCAUAGGAUUCCAAUUGGACGAAAAUUUGGUAGAAAUAAUAGGUUACCGAUUCUAGUUCAGCACGGAUUAGGUGGUAGUUCAGCUGACUGGGUUCUUUCUGGUCCUAAGAAAGCUUUAGCUUACAUCUUGGCUGACGAAGGUUACGAUGUCUGGUUGGGAAACAAUCGUGGGAAUAUCUAUUCAAGAAAUCAUCGUCAUAUGCAGCCAAACAACCGAACAUUUUGGGAUUUUAGUUACCAUGAGCUGGGAGUCUAUGACAUGCCAGCAAUGAUUGAUCAUAUUUUACUGACAACGGGGCAUUCAAAAAUAUUAUUUAUUGGUCAUUCCCAAGGUACAACGCAGUUCUGGGUUAUGACCUCGGUAUUACCUGAGUACAACACAAGGAUCGCCCUAGCUGUUGGCCUCGCGCCCGCAGCCUAUACUGGUCACCUGCGAGGCCCAGUUACACAACUCACUAAGUUGACAUACUUUGGUGUGUCUGUCGGUGAAAAAUAUGGCUAUCCAGAAUUUGGCUCACGUUCAGCAUGGGGUAAAUUUGUAUCAAAUUUAUUUUGUCACGAAGGAGCACCUACGCAGUUUAUUUGUAGCAAUAAAUUAUUUAUGGUAGCUGGUUUUAGCCGUGGAGAAUUAAAUAUGGCUAAUUUAACUGUUAUUAUUGGACAUGUGCCUGCUGGAGCAUCUUGGAAGCAAUUCGUACACUUUGGCCAGGGUUAUAUUAAUCCAGGAACCUUCAAGGCAUUUGAUUAUGGUGAGUAUAAUAAUAAAAAUAUACGCCUUUACAAUUCAUCAAUUCCACCAGAUUAUCAACUUGAAAAAAUAACAGCACCUAUCGCGCUCUUCAGUAGUGAUAAUGACUGGCUAGCAACACCAGAGGAUGUUAAUAUGUUAAGAUCGAGGUUAAGUAAUGUCAUACUAGACUUUAAAGUACCGCCAAAUACCUUUAAUCAUUAUGAUUUUCUCUGGGGAAAUUCAGCUCGUCAAUUACUUUAUAAGCCAGUGCUUGGAUUACUCGAAAAAUAUCAGUAAUUAAGGCUAUAUAAAGAAUGGACAAGAAGAAGUAUUUUGUUCAUAAAAUGAGUAUUUCAAAAAAAUAAAAAUUAAUUCAUGUGAUACCGAACUAUAUAUAAAUACGCAUUGCUUUUAAAUGUGGAGAAAUACUAAUCAACAUAAUUUAAAAAAAAUUGACAAAUUAAAAAAAAAAUCCUGAUGUACAUCUAUAUUGUUUUCGUCGACUUAAUGGUGAAAUGAUUAAUUAA